AUCCCAAUGCAGCAAGCCAUGGCCAGCGCAGAGAAUCCUUCCUGUACCGCUCUGACAGUGACUACGACCUGUCACCAAAGUCCAUGUCCAGAAACUCUUCCAUUGCUGGAGAACUACAUGUUGACAACUUGAUUGUGACUCCGUUUGCACAGGUUCUGGCAAGCCUUCAGACUGUCAGGACCAACUUCGCCACUUUGACAAAUGUGCAGUGUGUUUCUAGUAGG
Long non-coding RNA from Thalassophryne amazonica, 224 nucleotides. RefSeq lists it as uncharacterized. The record is from RefSeq and is a predicted model, not a curated record. NCBI's taxonomy places the organism in Eukaryota, Metazoa, Chordata, Actinopteri, Batrachoidiformes, Batrachoididae. The transcript has 3 exons.